This 253-nucleotide ribosomal RNA is filed under the name uncultured bacterium. Its description in RNAcentral is "partial 16S ribosomal RNA". It matches the Rfam family "Bacterial small subunit ribosomal RNA", at positions 524 to 776 of the family's 1533-position model. The record is from RNAcentral.
UACGAAGGGGGCUAGCGUUGUUCGGAUUUACUGGGCGUAAAGCGCACGUAGGCGGGUCGUUAAGUCAGGGGUGAAAUCCCGGAGCUCAACUCCGGAACUGCCUUUGAUACUGGCGACCUUGAGGCUGGAAGAGGUUAGUGGAAUUCCCAGUGUAGAGGUGAAAUUCGUAGAUAUUGGGAAGAACACCGGUGGCGAAGGCGACAUCCUGGACCGGUAUUGACGCUGAGGCGCGAAAGCCAGGGGAGCAAACGGG